UACGGAGGGUGCGAGCGUUGUCCGGAAUCACUGGGCGUAAAGGGCGCGUAGGCGGCGCGGGGAGUCAACGGUGAAAGCUCGACGCUCAACGUCGAGUCGGCCGUCGAGACUGCGAGGCUUGAGCACUGUAGAGGCAGAUGGAAUUCCGGGUGUAGCGGUGGAAUGCGUAGAGAUCCGGAAGAACACCGGUGGCGAAGGCGGUCUGCUGGGCAGUUGCUGACACUGAGGCGCGACAGCGUGGGGAGCAAACAGG
Molecule: ribosomal RNA, 253 nt
Filed under: uncultured bacterium
Lineage: Bacteria
Description: partial 16S ribosomal RNA
Rfam family: Bacterial small subunit ribosomal RNA
Source: RNAcentral